RNAcentral lists this ribosomal RNA (429 nucleotides) under Pseudomonadota bacterium. Its description in RNAcentral is "Proteobacteria bacterium partial 16S ribosomal RNA". It matches the Rfam family "Bacterial small subunit ribosomal RNA", at positions 355 to 776 of the family's 1533-position model. Lineage: Bacteria; Pseudomonadati; Pseudomonadota. The record is from RNAcentral.
CGGGGAAUAUUGGACAAUGGGCGAAAGCCUGAUCCAGCCAUGCCGCGUGUGUGAAGAAGGUCUUCGGAUUGUAAAGCACUUUAAGUUGGGAGGAAGGGCAGUAAGCGAAUACCUUGCUGUUUUGACGUUACCGACAGAAUAAGCACCGGCUAACUCUGUGCCAGCAGCCGCGGUAAUACAGAGGGUGCAAGCGUUAAUCGGAAUUACUGGGCGUAAAGCGCGCGUAGGUGGUUCGUUAAGUUGAAUGUGAAAGCCCCGGGCUCAACCUGGGAACUGCAUCCAAAACGGGCGAGCUAGAGUAGGGCAGAGGGUGGUGGGAUUUCCUGUGUAGCGGUGAAAUGCGUAGAUAUAGGAAGGAACACCAGUGGCGAAGGCGACCACCUGGGCUCAUACUGACACUGAGGUGCGAAAGCGUGGGGAGCAAACAGG